GGAGCAAUCCUGGUGGCGAGUGGCGAACGGGUGAGUAAUGUAUCGGAACGUACCUUUCAGUGGGGGAUAACGUAGCGAAAGUUACGCUAAUACCGCAUAUUCUGUGAGCAGGAAAGCAGGGGAUCGCAAGACCUUGCGCUGAUUGAGCGGCCGAUAUCAGAUUAGCUAGUUGGUGAGGUAAAGGCUCACCAAGGCGACGAUCUGUAGCGGGUCUGAGAGGAUGACCCGCCACACUGGAACUGAGACACGGUCCAGACUCCUACGGGAGGCAGCAGUGGGGAAUUUUGGACAAUGGGGGCAACCCUGAUCCAGCCAUGCCGCGUGAGUGAAGAAGGCCUUCGGGUUGUAAAGCUCUUUCAGCCGGGAAGAAAUCACAUGGGUUAAUACCCUGUGUGGAUGACGGUACCGGAAUAAGAAGCACCGGCUAACUACGUGCCAGCAGCCGCGGUAAUACGUAGGGUGCGAGCGUUAAUCGGAAUUACUGGGCGUAAAGCGUGCGCAGGCGGUUUGUUAAGAUAGGCGUGAAAUCCCCGGGUUCAACCUGGGAACUGCGUUUAUGACUGGCAGGCUAGAGUAUGGCAGAGGGGGGUGGAAUUCCACGUGUAGCAGUGAAAUGCGUAGAGAUGUGGAGGAACACCGAUGGCGAAGGCAGCCCCCUGGGCCAAUACUGACGCUCAUGCACGAAAGCGUGGGUAGCAAACAGGAUUAGAUACCCUGGUAGUCCACGCCCUAAACGAUGUCAACUAGGUGUUGGGUGGGUAAAACCAUUUAGUA
This 774-nucleotide ribosomal RNA is filed under the name uncultured bacterium. Its description in RNAcentral is "bacterial SSU rRNA". It matches the Rfam family "Bacterial small subunit ribosomal RNA", at positions 76 to 845 of the family's 1533-position model. The record is from RNAcentral.